GUAAAUUCGAGGUGCUGUCAGCUCUUAUUUUCUAUUUAAUGGAAUAAAAAUAUUCUAUAAAUCUACAUCACCAGUAAUAAGAGACAAACAGAAUUUUCCCCUAGACUUUGACACAUUGUUAAACCCUUUUCACUGGGGUGGUAAAAAAGGCAGAUUUCUUAGCUGUGCAUAGAACCUAAGGCUAGCAAAGCAUUAUGGGACUUGUGGUUCUAUACAAAUCUGGAUGUCUACAUUUUGAACACUCCUGACUUCAAGACAGUGCCAUAAAUUUUACACCCACUUCAACUGCUG
This is a non-coding RNA of Pelobates cultripes (western spadefoot toad), 291 nucleotides long. Lineage: Eukaryota; Metazoa; Chordata; Amphibia; Anura; Pelobatidae. The record is from the annotation of a GenBank genome assembly.